RNAcentral lists this ribosomal RNA (256 nucleotides) under uncultured Glomus. Its description in RNAcentral is "partial 18S ribosomal RNA". It matches the Rfam family "Eukaryotic small subunit ribosomal RNA", at positions 624 to 886 of the family's 1831-position model. The record is from RNAcentral. Lineage: Eukaryota; Fungi; Glomeromycota; Glomeromycetes; Glomerales; Glomeraceae.
AAGCUCGUAUUGAAUUUCGGGAUUAGUACGUCGGUCGUGCCUUAGGUACGUACUGGUGUUACUGGUUCCUACCUUCUGACGAACCAUCAUGUCAUUAAUUUGGUGUGGUGGGGAAUCAGGACUGUUACUUUGAAAAAAUUAGAGUGUUUAAAGCAGGCUCGCGCUUGAAUACAUUAGCAUGGAAUAAUGAAAUAGGACGUUGAUCCUAUUUUGUUGGUUUCUAGGAUUGACGUAAUGAUUAAUAGGGAUAGUUGGG